ACAAAGCCACAGACCCAAGCAUGUCGGAACAGGAUUGGUCAGCUAUCCAGAAUUUCUGUGAGCAGCCCCACACAUGCGCCCUGGCUACUGGCCCACAAGAUCCAGUCUCCGCAAGAGAAGGAAGCUCUUUAUGCCUUAACGGUGAGUUUGGCUUGCCUUGUAGCCUAACCUUUCCUGUCCUUGUGCUAUAGAGAGCCGAGAGGCACUUUGCUUCCACGCAGAUCCUUUUCACUGGAGAAGGGAGGUCCCCUGAGAGGUUUACUUUCACAGCAGGUUGGAGGAGGGAGAUCUGGGCCAGGGUCCCCACCCUUCUUCCUCCUCUUUCUCGUCUG
This 332-nucleotide small RNA is filed under the name Pan troglodytes (chimpanzee). Its description in RNAcentral is "retained intron". Lineage: Eukaryota; Metazoa; Chordata; Mammalia; Primates; Hominidae. The record is from RNAcentral.